GGAUGGCCUCCAAUUCCUUUGCUGGAAGAAAGAAGAAAAAGGAAAGGGGGAGAGAGAGAGAGAGGGGUAGAGGUGCUGGAAAAAUGCAACUAAAGAGCCCAGGUAUGGAAGAAGAACAGGAAGACUAAAGAAAAAUCACUUCUAAUUUCUGGAUUUGAAGUCUUAGGUCACACGCUAUUGUCUACCUGAUCUGUCCAAUCUGUUUGAUCUGCUUCUGGAGCUAUCUGUUAUCAAGCGCUUGACCAGGCCUACAGCUUCUGUCUGGAUUCUAUUUUUGUCAGCCAACCUAUGUGCCUCCCAUGAAGGUUUUGGAUAUGCCAAGUAGUUAAAGCUAUGUGAAUAAAGUUUAAAUUUUUGUUUAUUUUGUAUUUAGGGCUAAGUCCCCUUUUUGUCUAAUCUAUAUUUGAUGAUGUGUAUAUAUAUGUAUAUAAAGUUUAAAAUUUUUCGGUUUUA
Camellia sinensis is the source of this 453-nucleotide long non-coding RNA. RefSeq lists it as uncharacterized. NCBI's taxonomy places the organism in Eukaryota, Viridiplantae, Streptophyta, Magnoliopsida, Ericales, Theaceae. The record is from RefSeq and is a predicted model, not a curated record.